This 221-nucleotide ribosomal RNA is filed under the name uncultured bacterium. RNAcentral describes it as "partial 16S ribosomal RNA". It matches the Rfam family "Bacterial small subunit ribosomal RNA", at positions 15 to 229 of the family's 1533-position model. The record is from RNAcentral.
GAUCCUGGGCUCAGGAUGAACGCUAGCGACAGGCUUAACACAUGCAAGUCGAGGGGCAGCGGGGAGUAGCAAUACUCUGCCGGCGACCGGCGCACGGGUGAGUAACGCGUAUGCAACUUGCCUAUCAGAGGAGAAUAGCUCAUCGAAAGAUGAAUUAAUGCUCCAUGAAACAGGGGUCCCGCAUGGGAAUAUUUGUUAAAGAUUCAUCGCUGAUAGAUAGG